CCUACGGGAGGCAGCAGUAGGGAAUCUUCCACAAUGGACGAAAGUCUGAUGGAGCAACGCCGCGUGAGUGAAGAAGGGUUUCGGCUCGUAAAGCUCUGUUGGUAGUGAAGAAAGAUAGAGGUAGUAACUGGCCUUUAUUUGACGGUAAUUACUUAGAAAGUCACGGCUAGCUACGUGCCAGCAGCCGCGGUAAUACGUAGGUGGCAAGCGUUGUCCGGAUUUAUUGGGCGUAAAGCGAGUGCAGGCGGUUCAAUAAGUCUGGUGUGAAAGCCCUUGGGCCAACCGGAGGA
This 290-nucleotide ribosomal RNA is filed under the name uncultured bacterium. Its description in RNAcentral is "partial 16S ribosomal RNA". It matches the Rfam family "Bacterial small subunit ribosomal RNA", at positions 338 to 620 of the family's 1533-position model. The record is from RNAcentral.